GGGUCAGUAGGUUGGUCGUGCCACCGGUACGCACUGGUCUCACUGAUUCCUCCUUCCUGAAGAACCGUAAUGCCAUUAAUUUGGUGUUGCGGGGGAAACAGGACUGUUACUUUGAAAAAAUUAGAGUGUUUAAAGCAAGCUAACGCUUGAAUACAUUAGCAUGGAAUAAUGAAAUAGGACGAUCGAUCCUAUUUUGUUGGUCUCUAGGAUUGACGUA
This 217-nucleotide ribosomal RNA is filed under the name Glomeromycotina sp. Its description in RNAcentral is "partial small subunit ribosomal RNA". The stretch from base 68 to 217 matches the Rfam family "Eukaryotic small subunit ribosomal RNA", at positions 713 to 864 of the family's 1831-position model. Lineage: Eukaryota; Fungi; Glomeromycota. The record is from RNAcentral.